Molecule: long non-coding RNA, 2296 nt
Filed under: Mus musculus (house mouse)
Lineage: Eukaryota; Metazoa; Chordata; Mammalia; Rodentia; Muridae
Description: long non-coding RNA chr16:39995566-39997862
Source: RNAcentral
AAAUUGUUUAGAACUGUGGCACUUUAAAAGCACCUCGGCAUUGAUCUACUAACUCUAGAUCUCACCUCUCUGUGCUACUUUUAGAGUUUGUAGAUGGAUACUGUCCAGCAGAGGAGAGUCAUCUACGUUCUGAUGUCGAUUUGUUUUCAGAGAUCAGACACUUGACAUUCCUAGAGUGGACUGUCCCUUUAAAAUAUGAAACAAGUAAUGGCCUACAGAAAGAUUAUGAUAAAACUUUCCAGUUUUUUGGCUUUUCCCUUCGGCCCUGACUGGAUGUGUAGUCUACUUCCCACAAUCCUGUAUGUUACAUGGUUCCCUACCCAGACCACUCCCUUUGCCCCACCCCAAAAAUGGCUACUGGGCUUUCUCAAUCAUCUUGCAUGCCACCCCUCGCCUUCUUUUAUGUUUCAGAGUUGUGUGUGAAGAAUCACAUUAGUGAUACUGUAUGCUUUCUUUUACAAUCUAUUUACGUUUACACAUAUUUAUUUUUAUAUUUACAUAUUUCUCAUUGUUUACCAGUUGGCAAUAGUGAUAUUUUGUGAGCUGACUUUACAUUUUACUUCCGGGAUCCAUAUCAUUCAAAGCUUUAAGGUCUUAUUAAAGGCACUUGAAGGUUUUCUGGGUGUUAUUUAUGCUUAGUGUUUUUCUGUAAUGGAGUUGGUAAUGUGUCAUUGUUUCCUCUUCUAAAUUUAAGUAACUAAAUACUCUGACAGAUUCCUAGAGCUUCCUUCUACCACUAGCAGGUGAGCUCUGGUUGUGUUACAACAGGGCGCAUUAGCUCUGUUUACAUCUACUAAUUUGUUUUUAGAGUAUUGUCCUUCCCAACCACACUUUCCAGUUCACCUGCCAUCUUUCACAGGCAGCAGUGAGAGAGGUUUACCUUUUAAACUCAUAUUUUUUUAAUGUUUUCAAUCCUAGAUUUCACUUUUCCUUUAGUUUAAUCAGUCAUGGAGUCUUUUGAUUAUUAGCAUAUGCUUGACUCUGGUUUUAAUAAAAGUUAGUUUUAUUAUCAUAAAAUGUCUCCCAGUUGAUAACCUUGAAUUAUUUAGAAGUAGAAUAUCUAACCACAAAUACCUCCUAAAAUUAAUGUGUUCAUACUUCAAAUACCCAUAUUUUAUCUUGCUUCUUAUUUCAAAGGCUGACUCUUCUGCUUGUCAGUUAUUCCUCAAAAACUCCUGGAAACAUUUAGGAUAUAUCUAAAUUUCUUUAUUCUUGUUGCUCUGUUCUUCCUGUGUUUAGUUAGAAUUUUCAACUAUUCAGAAAAUUUCUACAGAUUUCUAAUUGAGUUUUUAAUUAUUUCUCUACAUUGAGAAAGAAUAUAUCCCAGGGUCUUUUUAUUAAAGGCAAAGGCUUCAUGGUCUGUGAGAACCUGAAAAGCCGGACUCCAGCUUGGGCAAACUCCUUACCAUUUCAAUGUAAUUACAUCAUGUCCCACGAAGACCCUGGAAAAGAUAAAAGCCAUGCAUUUUUAAGACUUCAUUUUGGGGUUGGGAAAAGACUCCGUUUACAGUUUCUAUUAUGAUUUUGUGUGCUUACAUUUGGCAAAUUUUACCUCUGACUCCAUACUCAGGUACUUUCAGAGACUUUAUUAAUUUCUGAGGUACAGAGAAGCAUGUCAAUAAACACUGGAUAUCAUAGAGUUUUGUGUAUAAAACUUACCCAGUGACCUCUGCACUUUUUUGAAUCUGACAUCAUCCAGUUAAGUAGAUGUCACUCUUCCCAGGAAGAAUGAGGUGAGAGUCUGACUUUUGGAUGGGAUUCAUCUUCCUCUUAGCUUUUUGAGGAGGCAAUCUUAAUGAUAAUUGAUGGUAUAUUCUCUGUUUUAUUCCUGGGUUUAGGAUACUUCUGGUGCUUUUAAUUACAGGUUGGGAUAUUUCUAAUAUUUUCUCAAGUUCCUUCUGCAGAAUCAGAGGCUCCCAAAGCAGAAAAACUAAUAAAUGUCAUCUAAACGUAGUGUUGCACAUACUUUGACUUGAAGGAGAGCCAUAUUCUCAUGGAGUCAAUGACAUAGUCUGGGGUUUGAAACAGAGUUCAUUGAUGACUUAAGAAGAAUUGAAGUCAGGGCUACUGAACAAUAUCCCCCUACUGAAUCUCUAAUUAGUACAUGCUUCCCCACAUGUUGUUGGGCGGGGGGAGGCAGUGGUUUCAAAUUCCCUUUUCUUUACAUUCAUUAGGGGCUCCUUAUUUAUGCUGUACAUAUAUGUGUUUCAGGAACUAAUUUCCUAUUGAAUAAACAAAGCACAUUGUACUCCCAUGUUUUGUGACUAUACCAAGCAUAGUCAUAUUUAACAAUCCU